AACGAACGCUGGCGGCAUGCCUAACACAUGCAAGUCGAACGAGACCUUCGGGUCUAGUGGCGCACGGGUGCGUAACGCGUGGGAACCUGCCCUUAGGUUCGGAAUAACUCCCCGAAAGGGGUGCUAAUACCGGAUAAUGUCUUCGGACCAAAGAUUUAUCGCCUUUGGAUGGGCCCGCGUUGGAUUAGCUAGUUGGUAGGGUAAAAGCCUACCAAGGCGACGAUCCAUAGCUGGUCUGAGAGGAUGAUCAGCCACACUGGGACUGAGACACGGCCCAGACUCCUACGGGAGGCAGGAGUGGGGAAUAAUGGGAAAUGGGGGAAAGGCUGAUCCCGGAAUGCCGCGGGAGUGGUGAAGGGCUUAGGGUUGGAAAGGUCCUUUAACCGGGGUGAUAAUGACAGUACCGGGAGAAUAAGCUCCGGCUAACUCCGUG
This 433-nucleotide ribosomal RNA is filed under the name uncultured bacterium. RNAcentral describes it as "partial 16S ribosomal RNA". It matches the Rfam family "Bacterial small subunit ribosomal RNA", at positions 29 to 507 of the family's 1533-position model. The record is from RNAcentral.